RNAcentral lists this small RNA (34 nucleotides) under Bombyx mori (domestic silkworm). RNAcentral's name for it is "ovarian small RNA-14837". The record is from RNAcentral. Lineage: Eukaryota; Metazoa; Arthropoda; Insecta; Lepidoptera; Bombycidae.
CUGAAAUGAUUUCUGUUGAUAGAUGGCUUCUAAU